UACGUAGGGUGCAAGCGUUGUCCGGAAUUAUUGGGCGUAAAGAGCUCGUAGGCGGUCUGUCGCGUCGGGAGUGAAAUCCUGGGGCUUAACCCCAGAACUGCUUCUGAUACGGGCAGACUAGAGGUAUGCAGGGGAGAACGGAAUUCCUGGUGUAGCGGUGAAAUGCGCAGAUAUCAGGAGGAACACCGGUGGCGAAGGCGGCACUCUGGGCCGGUACUGACGCUGAGGAGCGAAAGCGUGGGGAGCGAACAGG
Molecule: ribosomal RNA, 253 nt
Filed under: uncultured bacterium
Lineage: Bacteria
Description: partial 16S ribosomal RNA
Rfam family: Bacterial small subunit ribosomal RNA
Source: RNAcentral